Long non-coding RNA from Onychostoma macrolepis, 446 nucleotides. RefSeq lists it as uncharacterized. The transcript is spliced from 3 exons. The record is from RefSeq and is a predicted model, not a curated record. Lineage: Eukaryota; Metazoa; Chordata; Actinopteri; Cypriniformes; Cyprinidae.
GUUGGGGGAGUUACCAUAGCAACGCGGACUUGCCAAGGACUACUGAGCCGCGCGCGGCGUUCGGAAUGGGGUUCGAUAGGUGCCUUCCCCCAAUUAGAGAAGCACCAGAGUCCACCAGAAUGCACAACAUUUUCUUCACGUCAAGACGCGACAGCUCAAGUCCUGCAUCCAUCAAAGAAUGUUACAACUCGUAUCUCCAGGGGUCCGGCUCAGGAUUAGAGAUGCGCGAGCUUCGGAUAGAGUACAUCCUCUCACACAUAGACAAUAUGAGAUCACCACAGUCUAAUAUCAAUGGGGCGACCUGCUUUUAAGGGUGAUUUAAUUAAGCAAAUGAUAAAUAAAGGAGAAGAAUCAUUGAUGUGGAUGACAACAAUGCAGAAGCCCAGCAGAUCAAUGGACCAUAAUAAUGGAGUGACCGGUGGCGAUAAUCACCUAAACAGAGAGCC